CUGAGAGCAUUUGUAACACAUGUAGCUGGUGAAGGACUUGUAUGCAGGACACAUAAAGCAUUACUACAGAUCAAUAGUAAAAAUCAACUCAAUUUUAAAAAACAAGCAAAGGGAACUGGCGCUGCGCUGUAGCAGGUUAAGCUUCUGCCUGUGGUGCUGGCAUCCCAUAUGGGUGCCGGUUCGAGUCCCGGCUGCUCCACUUCCGACCCAGCUCUCUGCUAUGGCCUGGGAAAGCAGUGGAGGAUGGCCCAUGUGCUUGGGUCCCUGCACCCAUAUGGGAGAUCCGGAAGGAGCUCCUGGCUCCUGGCUUCAGAUCAGCGCAGCUCCGGCCGUUGUGGCCAUCUGGGGAGUGACCCAGAGGAUGGAAGACCUCUCUCUUCUCUCUCUCUGCCUCUGCCUCUCUGUAACUCUUUCAAAUAAAUAAAUCUUUAAAAAGAAAAAAAAAAAGCAAGCAAAAGACUUGAAUGGCCAUUCACUAGAGAAGAUAUCUAAUCGACACGUAUUAUGGGGUUACCAGGGAGAUGCAAAUUAAAAUGGUGGUGAAACUCCACUUCAUGACCACCAGGAUGAACCACAGGAAAACUGACGCGCUCCAGGGAGAAUUCACACACGCCGGCACUGGGCAGGUGACACGAAGGUUACCCUCUGGGAAGCUGUCACUUCCUAACACGAUGAAACACACAGGUACCCACGACCCACACUUCCUCUCCCGGGAUCCACCCAGAGGAGGUGAAACCACCCACACACAGCCUCGAGGACCUGCACACACGGUCACGCUCUGCUCACCCAGCACCAAACCGCAAACAGUGCCGACCGACGUGAGCAGGAGAGAUGUGCACGCGGGACAGUGUUCAGUGGCUUACAUAAAAUACAGCACGAAUGCAUUUAAAAACAUCAAGUGGGAAGAGGCUACUGCAACCAAGCAGGCCGUGUGCCUGAACCGGUACAAACGCCAAGGCCAGGCGAGAGCUCACUACAGAGAUGAGAGCAGUCUCUACCCGGAACAAGACAACAAAUGAAUGUGCUCUUUAAGGUACUUCAAGGGUAACAAUGCCCACCACAGCCAGGCUGGGCCAAGGUGAAGUCAGGAGAGCAGAGCUGCACCCGGGAGGCCCGUGAACGGCCGAGACUCGAGUUCCCGAGCCAGCAAGUGCGCGGCAGCGGAAAGUGGAGCCGGGACUUCAGCCCAGGCCCUCAGCGCGGGCCGCGGGGGCCCCUCCCAGCCCCUCGGCCUUCCCGCAAGUCACCCUACAACAUCCGCCCCUUCUGACGGUGACUACGUGGUCGCACGGGGACCACGCUUCCGGAACAUGGGCUCUGAGGGGCCACGCCGCGCGCAAACCACAGCAACGGCUUCGCCUUCGCAUCGGGGCUUUCUCAGACGAAGGCCAAGAAGAGCAGAGGUCGCGCCCGUCUCCGCGGGGCGGCGGCGCUGCGGACCCCGCUUCGGGAGGCCCACGCUGCAGGCGCGGGGCCAGCUCCAGGGGCCGGUUUGAGGCACGCAUUCCAGCGUUCCCCUCGGCGCCCUGUCCGAUUCCGAGGCCGGCGGCUGCAAGAGGACUUCAGGUCUGAGGUCAGUGUCCUGGGCGAGGCGCUUGCUCGUGGUUAAGGCACGACAGUGAGGCAGCCCACUGCCAGCCCACUGCCAGCCCACUGCCAGCCCAGCCCUGCCACUUCCUUCCCCUGUUCCCACUGCCCGCCGGCUCCCUCUCACCUCACCCUCCAGCUCUGGGCACCGCCAGGGCCCGCGUCAGCUUCUGCAGCUUUGACCUCUGACUCCCCCCCUCUCUCCGCAGCCACGAUGUGGGCACCCUCGGGUUUCUGUUUCCCUUCUUUCCCCAGACUCACCUAGCGUCCCCUCCCACGUUAACUAACGGCAAUCACACUUAGCGGGAGUGUGUCACCCGUGGUCGUGGGGACCGCAUCGCCCCAGAAUGUAAUACAGAGCGCAUGUCCCCGGUGCCAUCAGCGGCACUACACACUUCAGCAUCCCCGGAGGUCGGUUCCAGGACCCCGAUA
Long non-coding RNA from Oryctolagus cuniculus (rabbit), 2019 nucleotides. The record is from Ensembl. NCBI's taxonomy places the organism in Eukaryota, Metazoa, Chordata, Mammalia, Lagomorpha, Leporidae.